Molecule: unclassified non-coding RNA, 327 nt
Filed under: soil metagenome
Description: partial contains 5.8S ribosomal RNA, internal transcribed spacer 2, and large subunit ribosomal RNA
Rfam family: 5.8S ribosomal RNA (bases 1-118)
Source: RNAcentral
GAUGAAGAACGCAGCGAAAUGCGAUAAGUAAUGAAUUGCAGAAUUCAGUGAAUCAUCGAAUCUUUGAACGCACAUUGCGCCCUCUGGUAUUCCGGGGGGCAUGCCUGUUCGAGCGUCAUUAUAACCACUCAAGCUCUCGCUUGGUAUUGGGGUUCGCGGUUCCGCGGCCCCUAAAAUCAGUGGCGGUGCCUGUCGGCUCUACGCGUAGUAAUACUCCUCGCGAUUGAGUCCGGUAGGUCUACUUGCCAGCAACCCCCAAUUUUUACAGGUUGACCUCGGAUCAGGUAGGGAUACCCGCUGAACUUAAGCAUAUCAAUAAGCGGAGGA